RNAcentral lists this ribosomal RNA (425 nucleotides) under uncultured bacterium. RNAcentral describes it as "partial 16S ribosomal RNA". It matches the Rfam family "Bacterial small subunit ribosomal RNA", at positions 354 to 796 of the family's 1533-position model. The record is from RNAcentral.
GUGGGGAAUCUUGCGCAAUGGGCGAAAGCCUGACGCAGCCAUGCCGCGUGAAUGAUGAAGGUCUUAGGAUUGUAAAAUUCUUUCACCGGGGACGAUAAUGACGGUACCCGGAGAAGAAGCCCCGGCUAACUUCGUGCCAGCAGCCGCGGUAAUACGAAGGGGGCUAGCGUUGCUCGGAAUUACUGGGCGUAAAGGGCGCGUAGGCGGACAGUUUAGUCAGAGGUGAAAGCCCAGGGCUCAAACUUGGAAUUGCCUUUGAUACUGGCUGUCUUGAGUACGGGAGAGGUGAGUGGAACUCCGAGUGUAGAGGUGAAAUUCGUAGAUAUUCGGAAGAACACCAGUGGCGAAGGCGACUCACUGGCCCGUUACUGACGCUGAGGCGCGAAAGCGUGGGGAGCAAACAGGAUUAGAUACCCCAGUAGUCC